This 68-nucleotide small nucleolar RNA is filed under the name Stegastes partitus (bicolor damselfish). RNAcentral's name for it is "Small nucleolar RNA SNORD58 (ENSSPAG00000008311.1)". It matches the Rfam family "Small nucleolar RNA SNORD58". From Rfam's summary of the family: snoRNA U58 is found in introns 1, 3 and 6 of the ribosomal protein RPL17 gene in humans. U58 is a member of the C/D class of snoRNA which contain C (UGAUGA) and D (CUGA) box motifs. Most of the members of the box C/D family function in directing site-specific 2'-O-methylation of substrate RNAs. The record is from Rfam by way of RNAcentral. Lineage: Eukaryota; Metazoa; Chordata; Actinopteri; Pomacentridae.
UCGCGCUGAUGACUUCUUAGGACACCUUUGGAUUUCUGAUGAAAACAACCUGUUGAAUUCUGAGCGAG